UAGGUUGAAUUUAAAAUUUAUUAUGUCAUAGUAGUAUAACUAAAUUUAUUAGUUAUGUUAUUUUAAAUAAAUUAUGAUGUAUUCUACGUUUAUGAUUUUAAAAUGAUAAAUCAUUUGAUGUAUUAUUUUAAGAUUGGUGGUCAUGUUUGUUAGGCGUCUAGAUUACCCAUAUUUUUGUACUAAUGAACUUUAGUUUUUUGUUUUAACAAAAGUUAUUUGGAUCAGUGAAUUUUUGUUAUUGGGUUAUUAAUGGACUUAAUUUCGAGUUAGUACAUAAAACGAAUGGUUAAGUGACAUAAAAAGAAAAAGAAAAAUAUACCUUUGAUACCCAGCCGACAAAACCUAUUCUUCUUCCUUUCACACCUCCUCAUCCCAUCUUCUUUGUUUCACCAUCACCACCUCACCGCAUCUUCUUCCUCACCACCUAUACUCCCUUUUCAUUUAAUUCUGCUUCGUCUUGCUCCCCUACUUCGUUUUCCUCCGUCAUCUUCUUUCACGCUUGUAACCUAGUGAGGAUGUCACAUACUCUGUGCUGGCUCGUCUCAAUUUAGUUGGUAGGAGAAGAAGUAUGAUGGUGGACUUGGGCUCAGAUAAUAAUUUUCAAUAACUCAGAUAAUAAGCCACCCGUGAAGCCCAACCAAACCAUACGAAAAGAGAGAAAAAAAAAGUUGGACACGUGUCAUACACAGAGAAAAUGAAUUAGUGA
Molecule: long non-coding RNA, 706 nt
Organism: Brassica napus (rape)
Lineage: Eukaryota; Viridiplantae; Streptophyta; Magnoliopsida; Brassicales; Brassicaceae
Exons: 2
Source: RefSeq, a predicted model, not a curated record